GACGAACGCUGGCGGCGUGCUUAAUACAUGCAAGUCGAGCGAGGUUACUGUUUCGGAUCCCUUCGGGGUGAAGAAGCUUUAACCUAGCGGCGGACGGGUGAGUAACGCGUGGGUAACCUACCCCAAAGUCCGGGAUAACAGCGGGAAACCGCUGCUAAUACCGGAUGCCUUUACCUUGGGGCAUCUUGAGGUAAAGAAAGGUAACGCUUUGGGAUGGGCCCGCGUCCCAUUAGCUAGUUGGUGAGGUAACGGCUCACCAAGGCGACGAUGGGUAGCCGGCCUGAGAGGGUGGACGGCCACACUGGGACUGAGACACGGCCCAGACUCCUACGGGAGGCAGCAGUAGGGAAUAUUGCGCAAUGGACGGAAGUCUGACGCAGCGACGCCGCGUGAGCGAUGAAGGUCUUCGGAUCGUAAAGCUCUGUCCUUGGGGAAGAAGGCGAAAGCUUGACGGUACCCAAGAAGAAAGCCCCGGCUAACUACGUG
Molecule: ribosomal RNA, 486 nt
Filed under: uncultured bacterium
Lineage: Bacteria
Description: bacterial SSU rRNA
Rfam family: Bacterial small subunit ribosomal RNA
Source: RNAcentral